CGGUUUUUGUUAGAAAUUUAAUUUUAUUUAUUUUUUUCAUAGUUUUAUGAUGUAUUAGACCCAUAUACCAAACCACAAGUAAAGAUACUUAUCCACAAAUAUAACAAAGUAGAAUUUCCAUUUGAAGAAGUUGUGAGGGUUCCAGAUGUACGAUGUAUGAUUAAAGGUAGCUUGUCUGACAUAGUUGGCUAUGUAAAGACUUACUCCAUGCUUAAUAUUUGCAGAGAGCAAGAUCCAGGUAGAGAGGUUGAUAUCUUAUCAGAAUUUGAAAAAAGAUUGUAUAAAAUUGGAGAAGAAGAUAAUAUUACUCCAAAUGAAGUAACAAAUCUGUAUAUAGAUUAUGUUUUGAUUCUCUGCAGAAAAGUAGUUACACAAACUGUACAAUGAUGUUUCAAAUUAUACACUUCUGCUUCAAUCAAACACAGCAACAAAACAAAAAAAAUUCUUUUAGUUUAAAUGUUAUAAUUUGUUGUUGAUAAUAAUUUUGUAAAUAAAGGUUAAAUUUAUUAGCAUUA
Non-coding RNA from Parasteatoda tepidariorum (common house spider), 515 nucleotides. The record is from RefSeq and is a predicted model, not a curated record. Lineage: Eukaryota; Metazoa; Arthropoda; Arachnida; Araneae; Theridiidae.